Molecule: ribosomal RNA, 789 nt
Filed under: Unruhdinium penardii var. robustum
Lineage: Eukaryota; Dinophyceae; Peridiniales; Kryptoperidiniaceae
Description: partial large subunit ribosomal RNA
Rfam family: Eukaryotic large subunit ribosomal RNA
Source: RNAcentral
GAUGAGCUCAGCUUGAAAAUCGGGGCCUCUGGCCUUGAAUUGUAGUCUGGAGAGGCAUCGCCAACGGAGGCGCAGGUGUAAGCCUUUUGGAAAAUGCAUCAAUGAGGGUGAGAAUCCCGUAUGUCACCUGUAGCCCUUCGUGAACGGCAUGUCUUCUAAGAGUCGUGUUCCUCGGGAUUGGAGCGCAAAUUGGGUGGUAAAUUUCAUCUAAAGCUAAAUACAGGUUUGAGACCGAUAGCAAACAAGUACCAUGAGGGACAGAUGAAAAGGACUUUGGAAAGAGAGUUAAAAGUGCUUGAACUUGCUGAAAGGGAAGCGCAUGGAACCAGUUCGUCUUGGCGAGAUUGUGGCGCAUAAUCGUGACGGCAUGCUGCUCCAGCGCAAGCGGAGCGGUAGGUCUUAAGCGAGCUUGCGCUGUGCUUCUUGCCUUGCAUGUCAUCGGCAUCCCAUUCGUGUGACAAUCCCAGGGACAUGGAAGCAUGGCUGCGGCCGUGUGAAUGUGCCUGGCGAACGCACUGGUGUGUUGCUUGCUGACUAAAUGGUUUCCUGCGACCCGUCUUGAAACACGGACCAAGGAGUCUAACAUAUGUGCGAGUUCACAGGUGACAAACCAUAGUGCGCAAUGAAAGUGACUGCUGGGAUUUCUGCACCAGCAACCGACCAAUCGAUUGAGAGAGGUUUGAGUAUGAGCACAUCUGUUAGGACCCGAAAGAUGGUGAACUAUGCCUGGGAAGGGCAAACUCAGGGGAAACUCUGAUGGAGGCUCGCAGCGAUACUGACGUGCAAAUC